RNAcentral lists this ribosomal RNA (521 nucleotides) under Staphylococcus aureus. RNAcentral describes it as "partial 23S ribosomal RNA". It matches the Rfam family "Bacterial large subunit ribosomal RNA", at positions 2404 to 2925 of the family's 2925-position model. The record is from RNAcentral. Lineage: Bacteria; Bacillati; Bacillota; Bacilli; Caryophanales; Staphylococcaceae.
AGACGGACUUAGUGAUCCGGUGGUUCCGCAUGGAAGGGCCAUCGCUCAACGGAUAAAAGCUACCCCGGGGAUAACAGGCUUAUCUCCCCCAAGAGUUCACAUCGACGGGGAGGUUUGGCACCUCGAUGUCGGCUCAUCGCAUCCUGGGGCUGUAGUCGGUCCCAAGGGUUGGGCUGUUCGCCCAUUAAAGCGGUACGCGAGCUGGGUUCAGAACGUCGUGAGACAGUUCGGUCCCUAUCCGUCGUGGGCGUAGGAAAUUUGAGAGGAGCUGUCCUUAGUACGAGAGGACCGGGAUGGACAUACCUCUGGUGUACCAGUUGUCGUGCCAACGGCAUAGCUGGGUAGCUAUGUGUGGACGGGAUAAGUGCUGAAAGCAUCUAAGCAUGAAGCCCCCCUCAAGAUGAGAUUUCCCAACUUCGGUUAUAAGAUCCCUCAAAGAUGAUGAGGUUAAUAGGUUCGAGGUGGAAGCAUGGUGACAUGUGGAGCUGACGAAUACUAAUCGAUCGAAGACUUAAUCAAAA